UAAAGCAAGAAAGGGCGUAUGGGGAAUGCCUAGGCACACUCCGGCGAAGAAGGACGCAGCAAACAGCGAAAUGCGACGGUGAGCGGUAAGCACGUGAAGAGCCGUCGAUAUCCGAAUGGGGGAACCCACACGGAGUCAUAUCCGUGUAUCACAUGUCGAAUACAUAGACAUGAUGAGGCGAGACGCAGGGAACUGAAACAUCUAAGUACCUGCAGGAAGAGAAAAUAAGAAUGAUUUUCUGAGUAGCGGCGAGCGAAAGGGAAAGAGCCCAAACCGAUUUGAGGAUCGGGGUAGUAGGAUCAUCGAUAAAUCAAACAGAGGAUCAUAGAGGAAUCACAUGGGAAGGUGAGCGAGAGAGGGUGAGAGCCCCGUACUCGAAAUGAGAGACUGGAGAGAGAUGACACCUGAGUAGGGCGGGACACGAGAAAUCCUGUCUGAAUCAGCCGGGACCAUCCGGCAAGGCUAAAUACGAGAGAGUGACCGAUAGUGAACCAGUACCGUGAGGGAAAGGUGAAAAGAACCCCGGGAGGGGAGUGAAAGAGAACCUGAAACCAUAUGCCUACAAGAAGUCAGAGCCCGUUAAAGGGUGAUGGCGUGCCUUUUGUAGAAUGAACCGGCGAGUUACUGUAUGGAGCGAGGUUAAGCAGGAUAUGCGGAGCCGAAGCGAAAGCGAGUCUUAAGAGGGCGCGAGUUGCAUGCAGUAGACCCGAAACCGGGUGAUCUAGCCAUGACCAGGUUGAAGUUGGGGUAAAACCCGAUGGAGGACCGAACCGACCCCCGUUGAAACGUUGGCGGAUGAGUUGUGGCUAGGGGUGAAAUUCCAAUCGAACCCGGAGAUAGCUGGUUCUCCCCGAAAUAGCUUUAGGGCUAGCGUCGAGAGAAGAGUUGCGUGAAGGUAGAGCACUGAAUAUGUGAUGGCCCCAUCUCGGGGUACUGAGCAUAAUCAAACUGCGAAUGUCACGCCAACAUGCUCGGCAGUCAGACAGCGGGUGAUAAGGUCCGUUGUCAAGAGGGAAACAGCCCAGACCAUCAGCUAAGGUCCCAAAAUGUAUGCUAAGUGGAAAAGGAUGUGGAGAUGUACAGACAACUAGGAGGUUGGCUCAGAAGCAGCCAUCCUUUAAAGAGUGCGUAACAGCUCACUAGUCGAAUGACUCUGCGCCGAUAAUUUACCGGGGCUAAGCAUACUACCGAAGCUAUGGAUCCCAAGGGAUGGUAGGGGAGCGUUCCAUGAACGGAGAAGUACGACCGAAAGGACGUGUGGAGAUCAUGGAAGAGAGAAUGCCGGUGUGAGUAGCGGAACGUGGGUGAGAAUCCCACGCACCGAAAACCCAAGGUUUCCAGAGGAAGGUUCGUCCGCUCUGGGUAAGUCGGGACCUAAGGCGAGGCCGAAAGGCGUAGUCGAUGGACAACAGGUAGAGAUUCCUGUACCCGUAUAUAUGUGAAGGAAUGACGGAGAGAGGAAGCUGCAGCCAGCGGCUGGAAGAGCUGGUGCAAGCGAGAUAUCGGGAUGGCAGGCAAAUCCACCAUCCGAAACGAGAAGGCGUGAAGCGUACGGAAAGCUACGGCGAGUACGGAAGGCAGUGGAGGAACUUCCAAGAAAAGUUUCUAACGUUAAGUAUAUAUGGCCCGUACCGAAAAUGGACACACAUGGGUGAGGAGAGAAUCCUAAGGUGAGCGAGAGAACUAUAGCUAAGGAACUCUGCAAAAUGACUCCGUAACUUAGGGAGAAGGAGUGCUCAUAGAGAUAUGAGCCGCAGUGAAACGGCCCAAGCGACUGUUUACCAAAAACACAGCUCUCUGCUAAGCCGCAAGGCGAAGUAUAGGGGGUGACGCCUGCCCGGUGCUGGAAGGUUAAGGGGAGGGGUUAACGCAAGUGAAGCCCUGAACUGAAGCCCCAGUAAACGGCGGCCGUAACUAUAACGGUCCUAAGGUAGCGAAAUUCCUUGUCAGGUAAGUUCUGACCCGCACGAAAGGCGUAACGAUUUGGGCGCUGUCUCAGCUGUAGACUCGGUGAAGUCUUAGUACCUGUGAAGAUGCAGGUUACCCGCGACUAGACGGAAAGACCCCAUGGAGCUUCACUGCAGGUUGAUAUUGGGAUUUGAUGCAGCAUGUACAGGAUAGGUAGGAGGCAAAGAGAUGGAUACGCCAGUAUUCAAGGAGCCGCUGUUGGGAUACUACCCCUGUUGUAUUGGAUUUCUAACCGGACGACGUAGAGCCGUUGACGGGACAGUGUCAGUCGGGCAGUUUGACUGGGGCGGUCGCCUCCCAAAGAGUAACGGAGGCGCCCAAAGAUACCCUCAGCUUGGAUGGAAACCAAGCGCAGAGUGCAAAGGCAAAAGGGUGUUUGACUGCGAGACCCACAAGUCGAGCAGGGACGAAAGUCGGGCUUAGUGAUCCGGCGGUGCUGAAUGGAAAGGCCGUCGCUCAACGGAUAAAAGCUACCCUGGGGAUAACAGGCUGAUCUCCCCCAA
This 2471-nucleotide ribosomal RNA is filed under the name human gut metagenome. RNAcentral's name for it is "bacterial LSU rRNA". It matches the Rfam family "Bacterial large subunit ribosomal RNA", at positions 1 to 2495 of the family's 2925-position model. The record is from RNAcentral.